CAGGGAGAAAAACAAGCUGGAUACUAUGUGAGUACUCAAUUUAGAUAUGAUGAAUAAAUGUAUAAUGCAAGCAUCUUUAUAAAAAUGGUAGUCUUUUUAUAAAUAUACCUUUCUUUAUCUCUGUCAUAACAUGUAACAAUUAAUGUCAAAUGUUUCUAUGACCUCUACUUCCUUACUCAGCAAUUUUCAGUAUAAUACUCUCCCUCACUCUUGGUGUUAACAUGUUACUGUAAGCAAAGCAUGGAUCCUCCAUUGUUAGUAGAGGGCAGUAGUAUGUUUCCUUUUCAUUUUACAGCAGAUAUACAUUGGUAAUCAUCAAUUAUUAUUAUUUUUUUUUUUUCGAGUGCAGUGGUGCGAUUACGGCUGACUGGCUGACUGGCUGACUGGCUGACUGGCUGACUGCAACCUGCACCUUCUCCUCCACCUCCUAGGUUG
Molecule: long non-coding RNA, 435 nt
Filed under: Homo sapiens (human)
Lineage: Eukaryota; Metazoa; Chordata; Mammalia; Primates; Hominidae
Description: non-protein coding lnc-DCTD-21:2
Source: RNAcentral